This 406-nucleotide ribosomal RNA is filed under the name uncultured bacterium. Its description in RNAcentral is "partial 16S ribosomal RNA". It matches the Rfam family "Bacterial small subunit ribosomal RNA", at positions 30 to 526 of the family's 1533-position model. The record is from RNAcentral.
AUUGAACGCUGGCGGCAGGCCUAACACAUGCAAGUCGAACGAGUGGCGGACGGGUGAGUAAUGUCUGGGAAACUGCCCGAUGGCGGGGGAUAACUACUGGAAACGGUAGCUAAUAUCGCACACCAUCAGAUGUGCCCAGAUGGGAUUAUCUAGUGGGUGAGGUAACGGCGCACCAAGGCGACGAUCCCUAGAUGGUCUGAGAGGAUGACCAGCCACACUGGAACUGAGACACGGUCCAGACUCCGACGGGAGGCAGCAGUGGGGAAUAUUGCACAAUGGGCGCAAGCCUGAUGCAGCCAUGCCGCGUGUAUGAAGAAGGCCUUCGGGUUGUAAAGUACUUUCAGCGGGGAGGCGUUACCCGCAGAAGAAGCACCGGCUAACUCCGUGCCAGCAGCCGCGGGAAUUC